RNAcentral lists this ribosomal RNA (635 nucleotides) under Klebsiella pneumoniae. RNAcentral describes it as "partial 23S ribosomal RNA". It matches the Rfam family "Bacterial large subunit ribosomal RNA", at positions 2295 to 2925 of the family's 2925-position model. Lineage: Bacteria; Pseudomonadati; Pseudomonadota; Gammaproteobacteria; Enterobacterales; Enterobacteriaceae. The record is from RNAcentral.
GUGUAACGGAGGAGUUCGAAGGUACGCUUGGUACGGUCGGACAUCGUGCUAAUAGUGCAAUGGCAAAAGCGUGCUUAACUGCGAGACCGACAAGUCGAGCAGGUGCGAAAGCAGGACAUAGUGAUCCGGUGGUUCUGUAUGGAAGGGCCAUCGCUCAACGGAUAAAAGGUACUCUGGGGAUAACAGGCUGAUUCCUCCCAAGAGUUCAUAUCGACGGGGGAGUUUGGCACCUCGAUGUCGGCUCAUCACAUCCUGGGGCUGUAGCCGGUCCCAAGGGUAUGGCUGUUCGCCAUUUAAAGUGGUACGUGAGCUGGGUUUAAAACGUCGUGAGACAGUUUGGUCCCUAUCUGCCGUGGGCGUUGGAAGUUUGAAGGGGGCUGCUCCUAGUACGAGAGGACCGGAGUGGACGAACCUCUGGUGUAUCGGUUGUCACGCCAGUGGCAUUGCCGAGUAGCUAAGUUCGGAAGAGAUAACCGCUGAAAGCAUCUAAGCGGGAAACUCGCCUUGAGAUGAGACUUCCCGGGAACUAGAUUCCCCUAAAGGGUCGUUCGAGACCAGGACGUUGAUAGGUCAGGUGUGGAAGCGCAGUAAUGCGUUAAGCUAACUGAUACUAAUUGCCCGUGCGGCUUGUUCCU